AGGACGAACGCUGGCGGCGUGCUUAACACAUGCAAGUCGAGCGGAAAGGCCCUUCGGGGUACUCGAGCGGCGAACGGGUGAGUAACACGUGAGCAACCUGCCCUUGGCUCUGGGAUAGCCUCCGGAAACGGGGAUUAAUACCGGACAUUCACUUUCUCCUGCAUGGGGGUUGGUGGAAAGUUUUUCGGCCAGGGAGGGGCUCGCGGCCUAUCAGCUUGUUGGCGGGGUAACGGCCCACCAAGGCGACGACGGGUAGCCGGCCUGAGAGGGCGAUCGGCCACACUGGGGCUGAGACACGGCCCAGACUCCUACGGGAGGCAGCAGUGGGGAAUAUUGCACAAUGGGCGCAAGCCUGAUGCAGCGACGCCGCGUGGGGGAUGAAGGCCUUCGGGUUGUAAACCCCUUUCACCAGGAGCGAAUUCAGACGGUACCUGGGGAAGAAGCGCCGGCUAACUACGUGCCAGCAGCCGC
Molecule: ribosomal RNA, 471 nt
Filed under: uncultured bacterium
Lineage: Bacteria
Description: SSU rRNA
Rfam family: Bacterial small subunit ribosomal RNA
Source: RNAcentral